CAUUUAAUUAGCUAGUUUGCUUGGGAACAAGAUUUUAGCAAUGUAAUUAAGGAGACACUUGAGAAUGAGAUUGAAACAGAGAGAAAGUUAAGAUUUAUAACUGAGAGAAAGAGAUCGAGAUAAGAUUGAGGAGUUUGGUUGGUGCUAUACAGAAACGUACAGAGAGAGAGAGAGAGAGAAUAGGUUGAGAGUUGAGACUCCUAGAAAACAGACAGAGAGAGAGAAUAGGUUGAGAGUUGAGACUCCCAGAAAACAGAGAGAGAGAUUGGUAUUCCGUCCAAGAGUACGUAGGUUGGCAAUUUUGACCGUUUAACCGUUAAAUCGAUCGUACCUUUAUCGAGUUUGACGGUUAUUAACCGCGUUGACUGGGUAUUUUGUGGUUAUGAUUAUAACCGCUAACCGCUACGAAUGGGUAAGGUUAGGUUAUGGGUUUCGAAGUAACCACACGAUCCCCGUAACCAUACCCAUAACCAUCCCAACCCGUAACUUACCCUCUAUUUAUCCGUAUAUUAUUAAAGCAAUAAAGCACAAUGCCAUUUGACUAUCUCAACCCACUUACAUUUUAACCCUAUGUCCCAACGCAAUACUUUUGCUUUUAAUUUCAAAAAACCUUAUCUCUUAAUUUUGUC
Molecule: long non-coding RNA, 629 nt
Filed under: Linum usitatissimum (flax)
Lineage: Eukaryota; Viridiplantae; Streptophyta; Magnoliopsida; Malpighiales; Linaceae
Description: long non-coding RNA (LUSI_LNC003320)
Source: RNAcentral